Molecule: long non-coding RNA, 1738 nt
Organism: Ictalurus punctatus (channel catfish)
Lineage: Eukaryota; Metazoa; Chordata; Actinopteri; Siluriformes; Ictaluridae
Exons: 7
Source: RefSeq, a predicted model, not a curated record
UUGGUUGAAAAUAGCGGAAACACCGCGUCACGGACACGGCGCAUGCGCACUGCGCGCUUGUAAACUACGCAUGCGCACUGCGCGCUUUAAAUGAGGUCUGCGAGCGCGUAACCGUCCCAGUCCGUCUGCAGCAUUGAGGCACCAAUGUGUCUUGCUGGCUUCACGUGAAGGAUAAUGCAGGCCAAGAGCCUCACUUCCGGCUCUUGGUCACGUGGUUAUUACCAGCGUAGGAGGUGGGACUCGCGCCCUUUUUCUGCAGAAGACCUGAGCCCCAUUCACUCCAAUGGAAAAUUGUAUGAUCAGCCAACAGCAGAAAGGUGAAUUAGAUGACAUGAAGCUGCACAUCCACUUGUGUACAUGAAGUGUAAUCCUUUCUUACAUUAAGUGAGUGAGGCCUGCACCAUCAUGGUAUUUUGGAACAUCAUGAACCUGCAGCUCCGCUGACAUCUAGAUGGUUCCAGGACUUGGUUUUCUUUCUAAGGAUGCAAAACUGAUCCUGAGGCCCAGUGGGUGGGUGUUCCAACACUUUUUUUGGGUGUCCCCCCCCCCCCCCCCCCAAGGUUGUAAAACUGAGAUCAUGGCAUGAAGCAUCUUUGAAUGGGCUCAAGGGGAGGUGCCCAAGGGCUAUCAUGGAUUGCUAUAACAUUCAAGCUGAGGUGUUGAUUGGUGGUCAAGUUGCAGUCAGAUUAAUGGGAGGGAUAGCAGUGUGACCAUUGGUGGAUUUAAGGUGGCCACCCUGCUUGACCCCCGGGGGUGUGAAGGUGUUCCAGGAAUGUUACACUGCAUGUGUGCGCACACACAGGCCUUGUUUUAAAAUCCAAUUUGCUGGCAUGCCAUCACCAGUUGGAAACAGUGUAGUUUCCUUAUAAACUGCAGCAGUGACCAUGCCGUAUUCUCAUUUUCUCCAAAUUGUCUCAAUUUUGUCCAUUUAAAAUCUUCCUCCAGCUGCAUAUAUCUUAUGGAGUUUAGCUGUGCCUGGAUGAAGAUCUAGUCUGGGGAAGGAUGGAACAUCAUUCAAAAAUGCAAACACCUGUGGAAGUGAUGCUGCCGAUGCAGUUUUCAACUGUGGCUACUGUAGCUGUAGGCAUGAUUGAUUAGAUCAGGGGUUCCCAGACUUUUCCAGUGCAAGGCCCCCUUCAGUCAAAUGUUAAUGGCAUUAACAUUUGACUGAGGCCCUCCUUUUGCAAGAUGUCUUUAAAACAUUAAAAAUACAGAUUUUUGGAAUAUUAAUUUAAAAAAGGGGAUAUAAUCAUCUCACAUCACUUACAUUAGGGGUGGUUGUCUUGACUGAGAAUUUAUCUUUCACACCAAAUUGGUGAGGACCCCUGGUUUGAAAACCACUGGAUUAGAUUCAGUAGCCUGGUGAUAUCCAGUCAAGUUAGGGGUUUUCAUUUUUGUAUAUAUCCAUGCCCAUAUAUUGACUUUAUAUGAUGAGUACAUUUAUGAUGGGUGUAUAUCUUAAAUUGCUGGAUGUAGACUGUAAUAGAGCCUUUUGAAUUCUCUUGUGUUGAAACUGUGAAAUAAACUGAUAUUCAGGUUGGUAUAUGACUCAAAGGAUCUAUGUAAUGAACCAUUUAGACUCAAGGUACUUGUAAAAAGUCAACUUUUUAAAAAAAAUAUAUUCAUCAAAAAAUAUAACAACCUUAUCGUAUUGCAUUUAAGAGAGAUUCAAAUGCUAUUGCGCCAUGCUGAUGUACUAUAGAUUUGCACAGAAUAAAGGAAACGUUUCACAUUUUGA